CGGAUGGGCUACUCGCCUUUCUUUUCUCUCUCUCGCUCGCUCGCUCUACUGCUCUCGCUCUCUCCUGCGCUCGCUCUCACUGCACAACUAGGUUAAUUGGGAACCCACCUGCAUAUUGAUUGCAGGCUGGCAUCAGGUAUAAAGCUAAGCCGGUGCUUCUCUGGACUAUUCCUCCCAUGCAUUCAGCGCAAAGCAGCAGUAAAUGCUGGUACUCUGCGACGGACUGAUCAGCAAGAGUAGCUCAUAUGACAGCCACAGCGCAGCAGUUUGUUUUAUUCCGGCGUUGCGGAGAGAGGUGCUCUGUGAUCCCCACAAGUGAGAGUAUAACGCCUCCGGUCCUGGGGGUUUGAUCGCUGCCUUGACCUCCGUGGCAACUCGCACAGCCUUAAUUGAAGAAUCAAGACGCCUGCCUAGCCGUUGUUGUGAGGGCUCCUCCUCGGUGGAGCCUGGCCUGCUGUCUUGUCUUGUCUGGUUUUGAAUUGUUUUAUAUUGUCUUAUUUUGUUUUAUUAAGUAGGCCUACCAUUUCCUGGUUCGCCUGGUUUUAUUUUAUUUUAUCUCUGGACUGUUGCGCGUGCCCACGCUUCUGUGAUCGGGCUGAAGCAAUCCUUUGCCCGAGUGUCGGGAAUUUUAAAUUGCCUCCGUUGCUGGUUUUAGCCUGUGGGGAGCCAGACCAGCUUGCGAUUGAGGCUUGGACAACUACUACCAGUACGAGUGGACCCGUGGGGCAUAAGCCUUCCAGUGUGUGUGCGUGUGUGCGGUUUCUUUUAUUAAAGUGUGUUUUAGUUUUUUAUGAUCUGUAGCGAGCCAGACGCUCAGUGUCCCUUUUAUUCUUUUAACAUAUUUCUGUUUUAUUUCAGUGGACGAAGGACGUGCCAGUGGCCCUGGGACCUCAGGUGGUGGGUCGUUUUCACACUUUCUUUUGUACAGCACCUGGUGGGCUGCAGUGAUUUUCGUUUUGUGUGAUUUUCGUUUUGUGUGAUUUUCGUUUUGUGUGAUUUUCGUUUUGUGUGAUUUUCGUUUUGUGUGAUUUUCGUUUUGUGUGAUUUUUCCUUUGGGUCCACGGCUGCUGGUAAGUCAAAGUUCCAUGAUUGUUUUAUUUUCACUUUAGGACACUGUCAACAAUGACGCUACAUCUUGGUUUCUAAAUAUUUUAUUUAUUUUUACUAUAAAUAAAACUGUUUUAAUAUUGGA
This is a long non-coding RNA of Oreochromis niloticus (Nile tilapia), 1192 nucleotides long. RefSeq lists it as uncharacterized. NCBI's taxonomy places the organism in Eukaryota, Metazoa, Chordata, Actinopteri, Cichliformes, Cichlidae. The transcript has 3 exons. The record is from RefSeq and is a predicted model, not a curated record.